CUUUGCUAUUUUGAACUUUGACCCAGAGGCUCGGUUAUACAGACACAAGUUACCAAUUUGACUGUGACGCAAUACCUCAGCAAUGCCGCACGCUACCCUCUAGGCUGUUCAAACCCCCUUCUGCCAUAACAUGAACAGACUGUUAAUGGAUGGGGACACAGUAACUGAAUGACAAAGUAAACAUGCUGCAACACCACAGCUGACUGGUGCAAUCAUAAAGCAAGAAACAAGUGCUCACAGCGAUGCUCUUUGUGCUGGACCUGGAUUCCUGGAGAGGGAACUGAGGACUGAGCUGAAGGCUCAGGAGGAGGUCAAAGACACACAGGCCUUUAAAGAAGCAUUCGUCCCAGUCAUCAGAUUGGGCUUUGGUGGGAUUGAGGUUAUGUGGAUCUACUCUCCUGCCUGCAGUUUUCCUCGAUUGAAGUUUUGUUUGCAUAAGACUCAGUCGCGGUUUUCGUGCUCGUGUUGUUUUCUCGAUUGACUUCGUCUUCGCACGAGCGCCAGGGAGGAGCCUUCCUGACAGUCUGAAUCUACAUGAUGACAACUUGGUGAAAAAUGCAGACAAACACUGUGUCAGGAGUCUCAGCUGUAAGCAUCAGAUUAAAGAUCACAACUGCUCACGAAUCCUGCAGUAUUGGUAUCUGACAGCUGUACUCCUCAGGACUGUUUUUGUUGUGUGUUUGUGGCUGUGACUUUCUGUGUUGAUCUUUUUCUUAUGCUAUGUUUUGUAGGCUACAGACGAACGUUCACACCUUCAGGCUGGUUCUUCUGG
This is a long non-coding RNA of Scatophagus argus, 772 nucleotides long. RefSeq lists it as uncharacterized. The record is from RefSeq and is a predicted model, not a curated record. The transcript is spliced from 3 exons. NCBI's taxonomy places the organism in Eukaryota, Metazoa, Chordata, Actinopteri, Scatophagidae.